This 348-nucleotide unclassified non-coding RNA is filed under the name soil metagenome. RNAcentral's name for it is "partial contains 5.8S ribosomal RNA, internal transcribed spacer 2, and large subunit ribosomal RNA". The stretch from base 1 to 120 matches the Rfam family "5.8S ribosomal RNA", at positions 35 to 154 of the family's 154-position model. The record is from RNAcentral.
GAUGAAGAACGUAGCGAAAUGCGAUAAGUAAUGUGAAUUGCAGAAUUCAGUGAAUCAUCGAGUCUUUGAACGCACAUUGCGCCCCCUGGUAUUCCGGGGGGCAUGCCUGUCCGAGCGUCAUUGCCGCCCUCAAGCACGGCUUGUGUGUUGGGCCCCCGCCCCCCGGCUUCGGGGGGCGGGCCCGAAAGGCAGCGGCGGCACCGCGUCCGGUCCUCGAGCGUAUGGGGCUUCGUCACCCGCUCUGUAGGCCCGGCCGGCGCCCGCCGGCGACCCCAAUCAAUCUUUCCAGGUUGACCUCGGAUCAGGUAGCGAUACCCGCUGAACUUAAGCAUAUCAAUAAGCGGAGGA